UUGAGCUAAUGAAGGCUUGAUGCGUGGUCCAUUUUAGAGAUUCAUACUGACUUGACGUCCUCCAAGAGAUGUGCAUCCUUCUAUUUGAAGGGGUGACUUCUUUUGUUUUAUUCUCCUUACUCGGCAAACUCCUAUGAAAUCUUUUCUUCCUUCAUCAUUUUUCUUGCUUCAAAGCUCCCACAAAUAGAUUUUCUUCUUUGUCCACCGU
This 208-nucleotide long non-coding RNA is filed under the name Elaeis guineensis (African oil palm). Its description in RNAcentral is "long non-coding RNA (EGUI_LNC053225)". The record is from RNAcentral. Lineage: Eukaryota; Viridiplantae; Streptophyta; Magnoliopsida; Arecales; Arecaceae.